Molecule: ribosomal RNA, 253 nt
Filed under: uncultured bacterium
Lineage: Bacteria
Description: partial 16S ribosomal RNA
Rfam family: Bacterial small subunit ribosomal RNA
Source: RNAcentral
UACGGGGGGGGCAAGCGUUGUUCGGAAUUACUGGGCGUAAAGGGCUCGUAGGCGGCCAACUAAGUCAGACGUGAAAUCCCUCGGCUUAACCGGGGAACUGCAUCUGAUACUGGCGACCUUGAGUCCGGGAGAGGUGAGUGGAACUGCGAGUGUAGAGGUGAAAUUCGUAGAUAUUCGCAAGAACACCAGUGGCGAAGGCGGCUCACUGGCCCGGUACUGACGCUGAGGUGCGAAAGCGUGGGGAGCAAACAGG